UCAAAAACAUAGUUUAAAGAAAAAGAUUUUAGAUAAAUUCUGCUCAAUGAGUAAAUUAAAUAGCUGCAGUAAAUUAACUGUACUAAGGUAGCAUAAUAAGUUGCUUUAUAAUUAAAAGCUUGAAUGAAAGAAAUAAUGUGAAACAAGCUUUUUAAACUAAAGUAGUAAAAAUUAAUAUUUAAGUGAAAAAUCUUAAAUAAAAUCAAAAGACAAGAAGACCCUUUAGAACUUUACAAAUUAACUUAAUUUCAUUUGGUUAAUUUGUUAGAUUGGGGAGAUUUUUAAAUAAAUAAAUCUUUAGAUAUAAAAAAAUGAUUUAAAUCAAAUUAAAUUAUCCAAAUAUGAAAUAAAACAAGUUACCUAAGGGAUAACAGCGCAAAAUUUUUGAGAAGUUCUCAUUUACAAAAUAAAUUGCGACCUCGAUGUUGGAUUAAGAACAACUUAUAAAGCAAAAAUUUAUAAGAGUUGGUCGUCCCCGUCAUCU
Molecule: ribosomal RNA, 484 nt
Filed under: Bemisia tabaci
Lineage: Eukaryota; Metazoa; Arthropoda; Insecta; Hemiptera; Aleyrodidae
Description: partial 16S ribosomal RNA
Source: RNAcentral